GGUCCAAGUACAGUGGUAUUUACAACUAAUUGAUCACAAUCAGUUACUGAUUUCUUUGUUCCUUCUCCAUUCCCACUAUUUCACUUGAAUAGCCUUAA
RNAcentral lists this Y RNA (98 nucleotides) under Aotus nancymaae (Ma's night monkey). RNAcentral's name for it is "Y RNA (ENSANAG00000005931.1)". It matches the Rfam family "Y RNA". From Rfam's summary of the family: Y RNAs are components of the Ro ribonucleoprotein particle (Ro RNP), in association with Ro60 and La proteins. Lineage: Eukaryota; Metazoa; Chordata; Mammalia; Primates; Aotidae. The record is from RNAcentral.